CCUGAGAAACCCAAAAGAUCGAAUGGGGAGAUUCAUCGUCAGCUCAUUUUGUAUAUAUGCGAGUUGUGAUAUGGGUUACUACUUGUAGUAUUGCCUGUACAUUCUUGUAUAUUUAUUUGCAAGAUGUUGUCGGCGUGCACUUCUCCCCUAGUAGGACAUCGCGACCCGUUGAGUGUUGGUCUACGGCCCAGGUGGUAGCUUUUGAUGAAUUUUAUUCAUUGAAAACCCCUGGUGUUUUCUGACUGGCAUUCGUCGGUAUUCGUAUGGUAUUGAGCCGCAAUUAUAUGCGUCCUAUCCAUCGCAAGCGAGGUUAGUUACUGAUAGUGCGGACCUAGUGCCGUCGUUGGUGCUAAUCAGCUGUUGGUUGUGUGGAAUUCUAGGACUGGCUCGUUGAAAUACCGGUCAGCGAUGCUACUGCUUUGGGUACUUUCAGGACCCGUCUUGAAACACGGACCAAGGAGUCUAACAUGUACGCGAGUCAUUGGGAUUUUCUAAAUUAAACCUAAAGGCGUAAUGAAAGUAAAGGUCGUUCUUGCGACGAUUGAGGGAGGAUGGGCUAUGUUACGAGAUAGCUCCGCACUCCCGGGGCGUCUCAUUCUCAUUGCGAGAAGAGGCGCACCCAG
This 623-nucleotide ribosomal RNA is filed under the name Simplicibracon sp. NHM673590. RNAcentral describes it as "partial 28S ribosomal RNA". It matches the Rfam family "Eukaryotic large subunit ribosomal RNA", at positions 386 to 798 of the family's 3401-position model. Lineage: Eukaryota; Metazoa; Arthropoda; Insecta; Hymenoptera; Braconidae. The record is from RNAcentral.